Salmo salar (Atlantic salmon) is the source of this 74-nucleotide small nucleolar RNA. RefSeq annotates it as small nucleolar RNA SNORD50. NCBI's taxonomy places the organism in Eukaryota, Metazoa, Chordata, Actinopteri, Salmoniformes, Salmonidae. The record is from RefSeq and is a predicted model, not a curated record.
UAUUAAGGAUGAACCAUUAUCCCGAACCUGAUUCCUGUAAGAUUGACAACCCUGUCGGAUCUGACUUCUGAAAU